Molecule: transfer RNA, 72 nt
Filed under: Gossypium hirsutum (cotton)
Lineage: Eukaryota; Viridiplantae; Streptophyta; Magnoliopsida; Malvales; Malvaceae
Rfam family: tRNA
About the family: Transfer RNA (tRNA) molecules are approximately 80 nucleotides in length.
Source: Rfam by way of RNAcentral
GUCGUUGUAGUAUAGUGGUGAGUAUUCCCGCCUGUCACGCGGGCUAUCCGGGUUCGAUCCCCGGCAACGGCG